RNAcentral lists this ribosomal RNA (161 nucleotides) under uncultured Conocybe. RNAcentral describes it as "partial 28S ribosomal RNA". It matches the Rfam family "Eukaryotic large subunit ribosomal RNA", at positions 1 to 157 of the family's 3401-position model. The record is from RNAcentral. Lineage: Eukaryota; Fungi; Basidiomycota; Agaricomycetes; Agaricales; Bolbitiaceae.
UUUGACCUCAAAUCAGGUAGGACUACCCGCUGAACUUAAGCAUAUCAAUAAGCGGAGGAAAAGAAACUAACAAGGAUUCCCCUAGUAACUGCGAGUGAAGCGGGAAAAGCUCAAAUUUAAAAUCUGAUAGUCUUUGGCUGUCCGAGUUGUAAUCUAGAGAA